Molecule: ribosomal RNA, 407 nt
Filed under: uncultured bacterium
Lineage: Bacteria
Description: partial 16S ribosomal RNA
Rfam family: Bacterial small subunit ribosomal RNA
Source: RNAcentral
AUUGAACGCUGGCGGCAGGCCUAACACAUGCAAGUCGAGCGGAGCGGCGGACGGGUGAGUGAUGCCUAGGAAUCUGCCUGGUAGUGGGGGAUAACGUACGGAAACGGGCGCUAAUACCGCAUACUAUCAGAUGAGCCUAGGUGGGAUUAGCUAGUUGGUGGGGUAAAGGCCUACCAAGGCGACGCUCCGUAACUGGUCUGAGAGGAUGAUCAGUCACACUGGAACUGAGACACGGCCCAGACUCCUACGGGAGGCAGCAGUGGGGAAUAUUGGACAAUGGGCGCAAGCCUGAUGCAGCCAUGCCGCGUGAAUGAAGAAGGUCUUCGGGUUGUAAAGUACUUUAAGUUGGGAGGCGUUACCAACAGAAUAAGCACCGGCUAACUCCGUGCCAGCAGCCGCGGUAAUAC